GAUUAAGAACGUAGCGAAAUGCGAUAAGUAAUGUGAAUUGCAGAAUUCAGUGAAUCAUCGAGUCUUUGAACGCACAUUGCGCCCCCUGGUAUUCCGGGGGGCAUGCCUGUCCGAGCGUCAUUGCUGCCCUCAAGCACGGCUUGUGUGUUGGGCCGUCGUCCCCCUCCUAGGGGACGGGCCCGAAAGGCAGCGGCGGCACCGCGUCCGGUCCUCGAGCGUAUGGGGCUUCGUCACCCGCUCCGUAGGCCCGGCCGGCGCUCGCCGACGACCAUCAAUCUCUUUCUCCAGGUUGACCUCGGAUCAGGUAGGGAUACCCGCUGAACUUAAGCAUAUCAAUAAGCGGAGGA
This 347-nucleotide unclassified non-coding RNA is filed under the name soil metagenome. RNAcentral describes it as "partial contains 5.8S ribosomal RNA, internal transcribed spacer 2, and large subunit ribosomal RNA". The stretch from base 1 to 120 matches the Rfam family "5.8S ribosomal RNA", at positions 35 to 154 of the family's 154-position model. The record is from RNAcentral.